GAUGAAGAACGCAGCGAAAUGCGAUACGUAAUGUGAAUUGCAGAAUCCAGUGAAUCAUCGAAUCUUUGAACGCACAUUGCGCCCGCCAGCAUUCUGGCGGGCAUGCCUGUUCGAGCGUCAUUUCAACCCUCGACCUCCCCUUGGGGAGGUCGGCGUUGGGGACCGGCAGCACACCGCCGGCCCUGAAAUGGAGUGGCGGCCCGUCUGCGGCGACCUCUGCGUAGUAAUACAGCUCGCACCGGAACCCCGACGCGGCCACGCCGUAAAACACCCAACUUCUGAACGUUGACCUCGAAUCAGGUAGGACUACCCGCUGAACUUAAGCAUAUCAAUAAGCGGAGGA
Molecule: unclassified non-coding RNA, 343 nt
Filed under: soil metagenome
Description: partial contains 5.8S ribosomal RNA, internal transcribed spacer 2, and large subunit ribosomal RNA
Rfam family: 5.8S ribosomal RNA (bases 1-120)
Source: RNAcentral